Amphiprion ocellaris (clown anemonefish) is the source of this 1327-nucleotide long non-coding RNA. The record is from Ensembl. NCBI's taxonomy places the organism in Eukaryota, Metazoa, Chordata, Actinopteri, Pomacentridae.
CAUUUACUGAUCAUAUAAUCAGAAUGACAAUAUAACAGUAUAACAUUCUGACCACCUGACUAAUACUGUGUUGGUCCCUUUAUGCUGCUAAAAUUCCUCUGACCCAGUGGUUCAUCAGAACCUCUGGGGAUGUCCUGUGGAUCCUGUGGAUCCUGUGGGCUGCAGGGUGGGUCCUACCUAGACCAGGCUGAUCCUGGACCAUCCCACAGAUGCUCAAUCAGAUGUGGAUGUGGGGAGUGUGGAACCCAGAUGUUCAGAGGGAGAUGAUGCCACAUCUGGUCCAGCUGAUGGAAGGUCUUGAAGUUCUCUGACUGGCCUCGACUGAAGAUGGUCGUCUCACUGGAUUUAAGCUGCACAAUGAGGGACGUCUGCAGAGACUGAGAAAGAGUCUCACCACAUCCUGACAUGAGGAAAAAGACUUUAUUGAAGACUACAAUGAGAAAAACUAUCAGACAGCAGACGGCUGCAUUUAAGAGAAGAAGACCAUCAAACAUCCACGUCAGCUGAUGGAGGUCCAAGAGUCUCACCGAACAGCCAACCUACAGAGUGAAGACCUCGAAUCUGAUUGGACGGCCUCCUAUUCAGCCACAUGUGUGAACAAAUGCCUCUAAGCUGAUUUGUUUUCUAAAAUAAAUCUAGUUUGAGUCCUAAUCUAUGCCUGUGUGUUUGCUUCUUUACACCACUGUUAACAGUUUAGGCUGUUAGAUUGUUCCAGAUAAGACAAGUACAAGAUUCUUCAGAGCUGUUCUACCACGAGCCUGACAGGAAGAACGCCAACAGCUACUGAAUGUUCCUGUGGUUCCCUCAAGGCUACAGGAGGAGCCGUACGAGGACGAGCUGGUCCACCUGAUGGUGGCCAGUCGCUGUGGUUCAAAGCCAACACCGACUACGUGGACUUCUACUGGACCACAUGGAGGCCUUCAAACCGGACCAACAAGUUCACCGACUCCCCGACUCGUGGGUCUGAGGAUGCCGCCGAGCCUCGGUCCAGCCGGCCUCCUGUCUGUGGGUGUUUGAGUGCUGAGAGGUUUGUGGAUCCACGUGAACGUGUCUGUGUUGAAACAGCAGCUUUGGACUCAGUAACGCCAGGAAAAACCAAGAGCUCCUUUAUUUGUGACUUCCACUAAAAAAACUGAUGAAAAUAAGUUUGCCAGGGUUCUGACCGAUAACAGAUUAUUAAAUACUGAAAAUAAUUGUUUAAAUAUUCCUUUAAACAAUCCUUUUAGGUCUACAUUUCCUUUACACUGACUUCUUGGUAUAUGUACAAGUAUUUUGGGUGGAAUAUACCAUUAAGCCCGAUGUUCAAGGGUUCUUCUGGGAAUAUACC